GACGAACGCUGGCGGCGUGCUUAACACAUGCAAGUCGAACGGAAAGGCCCUGCUUUUGUGGGGUGCUCGAGUGGCGAACGGGUGAGUAACACGUGAGUAACCUGCCCUGGACUUUGGGAUAACUUCAGGAAACUGGGGCUAAUACCGGAUAGGAGCUCCUGCUGCAUGGUGGGGGUUGGAAAGUUUCUGCGGUUGGGGAUGGACUCGCGGCUUAUCAGCUUGUUGGUGGGGUAGUGGCUUACCAAGGCUUUGACGGGUAGCCGGCCUGAGAGGGUGACCGGCCACAUUGGGACUGAGAUACGGCCCAGACUCCUACGGGAGGCAGCAGUGGGGAAUAUUGCACAAUGGGCGGAAGCCUGAUGCAGCAACGCCGCGUGCGGGAUGACGGCCUUCGGGUUGUAAACCGCUUUCGCCUGUGACGAAGCGUGAGUGACGGUAAUGGGUAAAGAAGCACCGGCUAACUACGUG
Molecule: ribosomal RNA, 468 nt
Filed under: uncultured bacterium
Lineage: Bacteria
Description: partial 16S ribosomal RNA
Rfam family: Bacterial small subunit ribosomal RNA
Source: RNAcentral